UGCCAGACUCCUACGGGAGGCAGCAGUGAGGAAUAUUGGUCAAUGGGCGAGAGCCUGAACCAGCCAAGUCGCGUGAAGGAUGACGGCCCUACGGGUUGUAAACUUCUUUUGUCAGGGAGCAAUUGGGUCCACGCGUGGGCUUAGCGAGAGUACCUGAAGAAAAAGCAUCGGCUAACUCCGUGCCAGCAGCCGCGGUAAUACGGAGGAUGCGAGCGUUAUCCGGAUUUAUUGGGUUUAAAGGGUGCGUAGGCGGGAUGCCAAGUCAGCGGUAAAAAUGCGGUGCUCAACGCCGUCGAGCCGUUGAAACUGGCGUUCUUGAGUGGGCGAGAAGUAUGCGGAAUGCGUGGUGUAGCGGUGAAAUGCAUAGAUAUCACGCAGAACUCCGAUUGCGAAGGCAGCAUACCGGCGCCCUACUGACGCUGGGGCACGAAAGCGUGGGUAUCGAACGGGAUUAGAUACCCCUGUAC
RNAcentral lists this ribosomal RNA (467 nucleotides) under uncultured bacterium. Its description in RNAcentral is "bacterial SSU rRNA". It matches the Rfam family "Bacterial small subunit ribosomal RNA", at positions 329 to 793 of the family's 1533-position model. The record is from RNAcentral.